CCUACGGGUGGCAGCAGUGAGGAAUAUUGGUCAAUGGACGAGAGUCUGAACCAGCCAAGUAGCGUGAAGGAUGACUGCCCUAUGGGUUGUAAACUUCUUUUAUAUGGGAAUAAAAUGUUCCACGUGUGCGUUUUUGUAUGUACCAUAUGAAUAAGGAUCGGCUAACUCCGUGCCAGCAGCCGCGGUAAUACGGAGGAGACGAGCGUUUUCCGGAUUUAUUGGGUUUAAAGGGAGCGUAGUUGGGUUGUUAAGUCAGUUGUGAAAGUUUGCGGCUCAACCGUAAAAUUGCAGUUGAAACUGGCAGUCUUGAGUACAGUAGAGGUGGGCGGAAUUCGUGGUGUAGCGGUGAAAUGCUUAGAUAUCACGAAGAACUCCGAUUGCGAAGGCAGCUCACUGGACUGCAACUGACACUGAGGCUCGAAAGUGUGGGUAUCAAACAGGAUUAGAUACCCGAGUAGUC
Molecule: ribosomal RNA, 460 nt
Filed under: uncultured bacterium
Lineage: Bacteria
Description: partial 16S ribosomal RNA
Rfam family: Bacterial small subunit ribosomal RNA
Source: RNAcentral